Molecule: ribosomal RNA, 1349 nt
Filed under: metagenome
Description: bacterial LSU rRNA
Rfam family: Bacterial large subunit ribosomal RNA
Source: RNAcentral
UGAGUACGAGCGGCUACGGCCGCGAAGUGGAUGAUGUCAAGCUUCCAAGAAAAGCCCUAUACCCGUUAAGGCAUGAUGGCCUGUACCCGAAACCGACACAGGUGGGGUGGUAGAGAAUACCGAGGGGCGCGAGGUAACUCUCUCUAAGGAACUCGGCAAAAUGGCCCCGUAACUUCGGGAGAAGGGGUGCCACCGCGAGGUGGUCGCAGUGAAGAGGCCCAGGCGACUGUUUACCAAAAACACAGGUCUCCGCUAAGUCGCAAGACGAUGUAUGGGGGCUGACGCCUGCCCAGUGCCGGAAGGUUAAGGAAGCUGGUCAGCGCAAGCGAAGCUGGCGACUGAAGCCCCGGUGAACGGCGGCCGUAACGAUAACGGUCCUAAGGUAGCGAAAUUCCUUGUCGGGUAAGUUCCGACCCGCACGAAAGGCGUAGCGAUCUGGGCGCUGUCUCGGAGAGAGGCUCGGCGAAAUAGAAUUGUCUGUGAAGAUGCGGACUACGUGCACCCGGACAGAAAGACCCUAUGAAGCUUUACUGUAGCUUGGUAUUGUGCUCGGGCUCGGAAUGCGCAGGAUAGGUGGGAGGCUUUGAUCCAUUGCUUGCGGGUGAUGGUGAGCCACUGGUGAGAUACCACUCUUUCCGAGCUAGAGUUCUAACAGCAACCCGUUAUCCGGGUGCUGGACAGUAUCAGGUGGGCAGUUUGACUGGGGCGGUCGCCUCCUAAAAGGUAACGGAGGCGCGCAAAGGUCUGCUCAGGCUGGUUGGAAAUCAGCCGACGAGUGUAAAAGCAGAAGCAGGCUUGACUGUGAGACCUACAAGUCGAACAGGGAGGAAACUCGGCUUUAGUGAUCCGACGGUUCUGCGUGGAAGGGCCGUCGCUCAACGGAUAAAAGUUACUCUAAGGAUAACAGGCUGAUCUCCCCCAAGAGUUCACAUCGACGGGGAGGUUUGGCACCUCGAUGUCGGCUCAUCGCAACCUGGGGCUGAAGUCGGUCCCAAGGGUUGGGCUGUUCGCCCAUUAAAGCGGUACGCGAGCUGGGUUCAGAACGUCGUGAGACAGUUCGGUCCAUAUCCGGUGCACGCGCGGGAAUAUUGAGAGGAUUUCUCCCUAGUACGAGAGGACCGGGAGGAACGCACCUCUGGUGUGCCAGUUAUCGUGCCAACGGUAAACGCUGGGUAGCCAUGUGCGGAGUGGAUAACCGCUGAAAGCAUCUAAGUGGGAAGCCCACCUCAAGAUGAGUAUUCCCAUGGCAUAAGCCAGUAAGGUCACGGGAAGAACACCCGUUGAUAGGCUCUACGUGGAAGCGCAGUAAUGUGUGAAGCGGAGGAGUACUAAUAGACCGAGGGCUUGAU